UACGAAGGGGGCUAGCGUUGUUCGGAAUUACUGGGCGUAAAGCGCAUGUAGGCGGAUUUUUAAGUCAGAGGUGAAAUCCCGGGGCUCAACUCCGGAACUGCCUUUGAUACUGGAGAUCUAGAGUUUGGGAGAGGUGAGUGGAACUGCGAGUGUAGAGGUGAAAUUCGUAGAUAUUCGCAAGAACACCAGUGGCGAAGGCGGCUCACUGGCCCUGGACUGACGAUGAGGUGCGAAAGAGUGGGGAGCAAACAGG
This 253-nucleotide ribosomal RNA is filed under the name uncultured bacterium. RNAcentral's name for it is "partial 16S ribosomal RNA". It matches the Rfam family "Bacterial small subunit ribosomal RNA", at positions 524 to 776 of the family's 1533-position model. The record is from RNAcentral.